Molecule: long non-coding RNA, 1791 nt
Filed under: Homo sapiens (human)
Lineage: Eukaryota; Metazoa; Chordata; Mammalia; Primates; Hominidae
Description: HSALNT0187390
Source: RNAcentral
AUUUCUUCCAUUUCUCUGAAGGAAUGAGGCCUACCCAUGCUAGGUAGGCAGCUCCAUCAGGCCUGGUGGUAGGGGCCGUCUGUGGAGGUCAGGAGUGUACCCGCAUGCCUGCUCCCCUCCACAGCACAUUGUGGUUCUCCCACGAGUUUAUCUGAGUUCUCCUGGUCUCAGCCAUGUUUUAUCCUGUGUCAUCCCCACGGUAAGGAACUCCUUGCCUUUGCCCGUUGUGUAAAACUCAACUGCCGUUUAUUUGUCCUUAGAUCAUUCUUUUGAGCUUCAAGGGAUGCCUGGGGUUCUGUUUCAGGUCUGUGUCAGUUCUCUUUAUUGUCCUUUGUGAUUUUGCAGACUUGAUCCAAUGCCAUCAGUCCUGUUUUUCCAGAAUGGAGUUCCUGGCUUUUUGUAUUCACCCGUCAUGUCUCACCAUUUCAUGUGCCUCUUGGAUGUCUGGUGUGCUUCAUGUGUCAGAGUGAGUCUCCCCAGUAGAGUUGGGGUGCCCUGAAGGCAGGGCCUUUAUCCCCCUUUCCUAGAUCCACCUGCAGCCACACACACAGGAAGACCUUCCCACCGCACAGAUAGACUCGAGAAGCCCCGUCUCUGCUCCCAUUCUAGUCCCAGCCGGACCAUGCUGAGGUCAGCUUCUUAGUGGCCACAGACAUUGCCCAUCCCAGGAGAGAGCUCGGAAGAAAUUCCUCAUUGUUGGCUUCAUACUGCCAUGGGUUACUUAGAGGCUGGGGCAUUUUUGAGAUCAAAGGCUGCCGUUAGAGAUGGUCAGAGAGCAUUGGUGGCAUGCAGAGCCACAGCAGAGACCACCUCCAGGACUAAGGAAGGGAGAUGACAGUAAGUGUGCACCUGCUGUGUGACACAUGCUGUCCACAGGGCCUGGAAUCUGGCAGCAGAGGGAGCUGGGUGCUGUGGCCUUCCCAGCAAUGAGCUGCCCUGGGGAUGAAAUCCCUGCACUGUGACACCCUCCUUGGUGUGAGUGUACCAUGGGGUCUGAAGGAGGAGGGGGCAAGGUUGAGGGCUCUGAGUGGCUGAUCUUGACAGAUGAUGGAUGUGUCUGAGAGGGGAGAAGGCCCAGCCUUGCAUUCUUGGGAACAGGUGCUGAUUGCCUUCAGGGCUCCAGCCUCUUUUCUUGGCCUUUUCAAUGCUCAGACAUCCUCUUCCUUGCCCUCACCCCUGCUCUUCCCACAUCUUCAAAGCUGAAGGAGUCUCCUUAUUCUGGAGGUGAGGAGCAGUGAGGGAGAACUGCCUGUAAGUCAGCAGAGAACUGGACAAGGGUGCCUAGCCUUGCGCCUGGGUCAGGUCUGCAGGUGCCUUCUACACCAACCUUGUGCCUAAGUGCCAGGUUUCCAGCUAAAUGCUCAACACAUUUCUUCACCAAAAAGAGAGCUGAAAUGAAUGACUGUGGGGUUCUGUCUUGUCCAUUCUGAUAAUGAUAACAAUGAUGACAACAGCAUCCAACACCUGUAGAAUGUUCACUAGCCACCAGGCACUGUUUCUUAUGUUAACUUAGUUUUUCUUUGCAAUGAUCUUGAAGGGAUACAUUUAACAUAUAUGAAAAAUGAGUUGCAGAUGAAUUGAGUCGCCAAGGGCUCUGUUUACAAGCAUGCCUCCCCACCAUCCUGUCCUUAAAAUAGUGAUUCCAAGUUAGUUUUCAUUAAUGAUCCAUGAGUGAUGGCCAGCAUGCAGCACCUAGUUUCAUGUGGACAUUUCUCUCUCUGGUUUAUGACCACUGCACGGGGUGGAUGGUUAUUAUUAUUGGGAAUAACCGUGUAUCAGAGUGCAGCUCUU